This 68-nucleotide transfer RNA is filed under the name Luciocephalus pulcher (pikehead). Its description in RNAcentral is "tRNA-Met". It matches the Rfam family "tRNA". From Rfam's summary of the family: Transfer RNA (tRNA) molecules are approximately 80 nucleotides in length. The record is from RNAcentral. Lineage: Eukaryota; Metazoa; Chordata; Actinopteri; Anabantiformes; Osphronemidae.
GUAAAGUCAGCUAAUCAAGCUUUUGGGCCCAUACCCCAGGAAUGUAGGUUAAACCCCUUCCUUUACUA